This is a long non-coding RNA of Ipomoea nil (Japanese morning glory), 385 nucleotides long. RefSeq lists it as uncharacterized. The record is from RefSeq and is a predicted model, not a curated record. NCBI's taxonomy places the organism in Eukaryota, Viridiplantae, Streptophyta, Magnoliopsida, Solanales, Convolvulaceae. The transcript is spliced from 2 exons.
AAAUGUCCCAAGUUAUGCAAACUUGAUAUCGAUUUAUUACCGAUGCCGAAACAUGAAGACGCCUUGUCGGAGCUCUUGUCAUAUCUUCAUGCAAAUCAAACAAAUGAGAUGCUUCAUACCUUGAAGCUUGACUCAUUUAGAGGGUUACCGUGUGAAAUCCUUUUCAUUAAGGGGCUACUUGCUAAUUUUUCAGCACUAGAAAAGGUUGUUAUCGUUCGUCAUCAUCAAAUGUUAUUUCUCACAUGUGAUGAGGUUAAAAUUAUUCAAGAGCUUUUGCAUUUUCCUCGUGCCUUCGCAGAAGCAGAAAUUAUUCUUGUUUAAUGGGUAUGGGUAUGUUUGCAAUAAUCUCAUCCCCAUUUUGUAUUGGUGUAUUUUCAUUUUUCUA